This 253-nucleotide ribosomal RNA is filed under the name uncultured bacterium. RNAcentral's name for it is "partial 16S ribosomal RNA". It matches the Rfam family "Bacterial small subunit ribosomal RNA", at positions 524 to 776 of the family's 1533-position model. The record is from RNAcentral.
UACAGAGGGUGCAAGCGUUGUUCGGAAUUAUUGGGCGUAAAGAGCGUGUAGGCGGCCAGGUAGGUCUGCUGUGAAAACUCGAGGCUCAACCUCGAGACGUCGGCGGAAACCAUCUGGCUAGAGUCCGGAAGAGGCGAGUGGAACUCCUGGUGUAGCGGUGGAAUGCGCAGAUAUCGGGAGGAACACCUAUUGCGAAGGCAGCUCGCUGGGACGUUACUGACGCUGAGACGCGAAAGCGUGGGGAGCAAACAGG